UACGGAGGGUGCGAGCGUUAAUCGGAAUUACUGGGCGUAAAGCGCGCGUAGGUGGUUUAGUAAGUCGGAUGUGAAAGCCCCGGGCUUAACCUGGGAACUGCAUUCGAUACUGCUUUACUCGAGUGUGGUAGAGGGUAGUGGAAUUCCUGGUGUAGCGGUGAAAUGCGUAGAUAUCAGGAGGAACAUCAGUGGCGAAGGCGGCUACCUGGACCAACACUGACACUGAGGUGCGAAAGCGUGGGUAGCAAACAGG
RNAcentral lists this ribosomal RNA (253 nucleotides) under uncultured bacterium. Its description in RNAcentral is "partial 16S ribosomal RNA". It matches the Rfam family "Bacterial small subunit ribosomal RNA", at positions 524 to 776 of the family's 1533-position model. The record is from RNAcentral.